CUACGGGCGGCUCCAGUGAGGAAUAUUGGUCAAUGGGCGCAAGCCUGAACCAGCCAUGCCGCGUGCAGGAUGACGGCCCUAUGGGUUGUAAACUGCUUUUAUUAAGGAAUAACCCCCCGGUCGUGCAUCGGGGCUGAACGUACUUAAAGAAUAAGCAUCGGCUAACUCCGUGCCAGCAGCCGCGGUAAUACGGAGGAUGCAAGCGUUAUCCGGAUUCAUUGGGUUUAAAGGGUUCGCAGGCGGCGUAUUAAGUCAGUGGUGAAAUCCCUCGGCUCAACCGAGGAACUGCCAUUGAUACUGGUAUGCUAGAGUAUAGUUGGCGUAGGCGGAAUAUUUCAUGUAGCGGUGAAAUGCUUAGAUAUGAAAUAGAACACCGAUCGCGAAGGCAGCUUACGAAGCUAUAACUGACGCUCAGGAACGAAAGCGUGGGGAGCGAACAGGAUUAGAUACCCUAGUAGUC
Molecule: ribosomal RNA, 460 nt
Filed under: uncultured bacterium
Lineage: Bacteria
Description: partial 16S ribosomal RNA
Rfam family: Bacterial small subunit ribosomal RNA
Source: RNAcentral